CUGGUCAACGGCGGUGGAAACAUCGCUACUCCGCAAGGGGGUCCAGUCGAGGUGCUGCAUGGCUGUCGUCAGCUCGUGUCGUGAGAUGUUGGGUUAAGUCCCGCAACGAGCGCAACCCUUGUCCUGUGUUGCCAUGCCGAAAGGCGGAACUCGCAGGAGACCGCCAGCGAUAAGCUGGAGGAAGGUGGGGAUGACGUCAAGUCCUCAUGGCCUUUAUGUCCAGGGCUACACACGUGCUACAAUGGCCGGUACAACACGCCGCAAACCCGCGAGGGGGAGCCAAUCGUAAAAAACCGGUCUCAGUUCGGAUUGCAGGCUGCAACUCGCCUGCAUGAAGCUGGAAUCGCUAGUAAUGGCAGAUCAGCACGCUGCCGUGAAUACGUUCCCGGGCCUUGUACACACCGCCCGUCACAUCACGAAAGUGGGCUGUACUAGAAGCCCGCAGGCCGACCCGCAAGGGGGGCAGCGGUCCAAGGUAUGACUCAUGAUUGGGGUGAAGUCGUAACAAGGUAACC
Molecule: ribosomal RNA, 515 nt
Filed under: uncultured bacterium
Lineage: Bacteria
Description: bacterial SSU rRNA
Rfam family: Bacterial small subunit ribosomal RNA
Source: RNAcentral